CGCCCCUUAUGACCUGGGCUACACACGUGCUACAAUGGUUGGUACAACGAGUUGCGAGUCGGUGACGGCGAGCUAAUCUCUUAAAGCCAAUCUCAGUUCGGAUUGUAGGCUGCAACUCGCCUACAUGAAGUCGGAAUCGCUAGUAAUCGCGGAUCAGCACGCCGCGGUGAAUACGUUCCCGGGCCUU
Molecule: ribosomal RNA, 187 nt
Filed under: uncultured Streptococcus sp.
Lineage: Bacteria; Bacillati; Bacillota; Bacilli; Lactobacillales; Streptococcaceae
Description: partial 16S ribosomal RNA
Rfam family: Bacterial small subunit ribosomal RNA
Source: RNAcentral